GCGCGCGUGGCCGCCGGCUUUGGCCGGGCUGUGCUCCCGCGUCCCGCGUUGGCAGCUUAGAGUGGGGCGCGGGUCGGUGUGCUGAGGUCCCUAGCCUGCUGUGACACUCUCUCAGGAGGUGCCGCACUUCCACCAGCCGGCAGGACUGGAGUGGGGCGCAUGUGUAAAUCGGCAGCAGCGACCGCGGGCCGUGUCCUGAGGGCGGGGAGCGCGGGCCUCCGCGUGAGGCGCCGCGGGGUGAGGCCACGUGCGCGAGUUCCCGGGUCCCUCACUGGGGAACCGGGCUGGCCGCGCCCUGCGUCCUUUCCAGAAGGGGCUUUUACCCAGAUGCUGGCUCAGUGCUGCCCUGCAGUGGCCAAUGGUGGGAAUGGCUACUUGGAUUGGCCUCUUCAAACUGGAGUGCUUCAGGGCUGCCACGUGAGUUCUGCAGUCAGGGCAGUCCUGCUGCUUCCCCAAGGGCUCCUGUGAGGUUGAGAAAUGUCACCCCUUCCACGUGGGCACUUUUCCUGAGGGCAGCCAGUUCUACCGGCCACUCUGACUGCCGACCCUGUGACAUGGUGAGAUUUGGCUCAGUCCCCAUCUCCUCCAGGAAGUCUGCCGAGAUGGACCCCAAGAGCCUUCUCAUCAUGGCCUCAUUUUUAAAAUGACUAAUUUCUAAUUUUUCUAGUUUCCUCCUCCCCCCUGUCUUCCCAGGCCUGCACAGAGUCUGCACAUUUCAUAGUAUACAAGGUACUGUCGUGUUCAUCUUGCCACUGAUGACAUCGUGGUUGUGGGCUGGCACUUGGAGCCAGGAUUCCUGGGUUGGAAUCCUGGCUCCACGUCUGGCCGGCUGUGUAGCUUUGGGUAAGUUGCUCGACUCCUCGGAGCCUCAGUUUUCUAUUCUGCCUCUUGUAGUAUUACCGCGAUAAUUGGGUGAGGCAGUGCAGGUGAAGGCCAGGUGCCUGUACUGAGCAAGUGCCCAAUAGACAACAGCAGAUGGGGAAACUGAGACUCAGGAAGGGGAGGAAAUCAAAUGUCAGGCACUUGCCAAGGUGCAGGGCCCCAGACAUACAGCAUCUCAUUUUAUUCCCCCAGUGGAAAGGUAGGCACUUUGCAUCCAUUUUGCAGGUGAGGGGACUGGGACUCAGUUUACACUGGUCUGUAGGACCAGGAAGAAUGGGUGUUGGGUGUUGUCCUCCAGAGUCUGAUACAGAGUCUGGGAUUCCUUUCUGCCUGUCUUGGGAAGGAAGGGUAGGAAGAUGUGGGUCUUUGGGGGCCCCUUGGGCAUGGACCUAGGAGGCCAGAAAUAAACACUUAUUUUUCUUUCCAAUUUGCCCCAGACCCAAGGAGGGCUUUCAAGGGAAUAAAAAUUUCAGUGGGGAAAGUUGGGCUCUCAUUUGGGGAUCCCCUAGAGUCUCUGAUGACAGGUGGCCCUUUAUCAUUAAAUGGACUUGCAGAAAAGCACAGGGGUGAGCAGCAGGGGGUGCUCUGACAUCAGCAGAGAGAUGUGCUUCCCUGGGCAAAGCUCAGCCUGGAUUAGGUGAGUGACAGCAGGCAUGCCCACUCGUCCACUCAGGGAACUUUCACCUGAUAGCUGAGAGGGGUCUUCUGAAAUCAGGGUCGCUAUGGGCAUUAUGAGCCCUGGCUUUGGAGAUUGUGGACUUGGAUUUGAAAAGUCACCCAGCUCUUUCUAAUUUUGUGACCCUGAGCAAGUCCCUUAACCUCUUGGAGCCUCAGUGGCCUCACUGAGCAAAAAAUAAUAUUCAUCUCAUGGGGCUGUCAGGAGGAUUAAUGUGAUGACACAUGCAGAUUUCUUAGCAUAGUGCCUGGCACCUAUAAGCACUCAGUUAAUGACAGCUGUUAUUGUUGUUAAGUGUCAUGUCGUUAAGGGUAGUCCCAUAGAAGUGAGGCUUCUGGGAUGUAUCUAGAUCCUCUGCUAUGGCCUUCAAGGGGUUUACCUUCUGCCCAAGCAUACUGCCUAUACCCCAAGGGCCUUGCUUAUAGCUGUGAACCCCAAGAUUCCUAUCUGGGCCAAAAUGUUCACUAGAGGUCGGUGGGGAAAAGGAGGGCAGUGUGGUCUCUGCUCUGCUAUGAACUUGCUGUGUGGCCUGGCAUAAGUCCCUUGCCCUCUCUGGGCCUUGAUUUAGAUCUAGAGGGUCUGCAUGAUAAGCAUCGAGAUCCUGUGUAGUCUGGCAUCAGCACCCUGGGAGUAUGUCUUCAUCCCAGAAACAUACUACGUUCGUUUUAACAGGGUUCUUUGCUGUUUGAACCCAAAAGUGUGGUUUGAGGACGAGAAUGGGUAGGCUCCUAGCUAAGUCCUAUCGAGGGGACAGCCACAUUUUAUCCUUCCCAGGUCCAGGGGCCCCACAUGCUCUCCUUGUCACCCCUGUGUGGCCUGCUAAUAGAAAAGGGUCUGAUGGAGUAGUUUUCCUCAAGCCAUGAACGACUGUAGGGCUGGUGCUGUCCAUUCUGAGGGGUGUUGAACCUGGGCAGGAGUAGAGUUUUUAUCUGGAGAAAUGAAGCACUAUUUAUGGAAUGCCAUCAAGAGACUUUGAAGCUGGAAGGUUGCCUCUAUUCAAGUCAUGGCAGCCUCAUUCCCUGGCCUUGCUCAGGGAGGUGGGACAGGUGGGACAACUGGUUCAACAGACCAUGGCACACAGCAGCAAAGGAGAUGGGCACACUGGACGUCAUCAAAAUUACAAACUUUUGUGCUUCAAAGGCCAUUAUCAAGAAAGUGAAAGAUUCACCCACCAAAUAGGAGAAAAUAUUUGCAAGUCAUGUAUCUUAUAAGGAACUUGUAUCCAGAAUAUAUAAAGAACUCUUACAACUCAACCAUAAAAAGAGAACCUAGUAUAAAAAUGAACAAAUUAUCUGAAUAGACGUUUCUCCAAAGAAAAUAUACAAGUAGUUCACAAUACAUGAAAAGAGCUUGACAUCAUUAGUCAUUAGGGAAAUGCAAAUCAAAGCCACAGUGACAUACCACUUCACCCCCACUAGGAUGGCUAUUAUGAAAAAGACAGAUAAUAACAAGUGUUGUCGAGGAUAUGGGGAAAUUGGUGCCCUUGUAGGGUGGGAUUGCAGCCAGUUUCGAAAAACAGUUUGGCAGUUACUCAAGAAGUUAAAGAAAGAGUUUACCAUAUGACCCAACAAUUCCAUUCCUAGGUGUAUGCUCAAGAGAUUUAAAAACAUUUGUCAUAAAACAAUAACAACAACAACAAAAAACAUGCGUUUAAACAAAAAAUUAACAUUUGUUCAUAGCAGCAUUAUUCAUGACAGCUAAAAAGAAGAAGAAACAAUUCAACUGUUCAUCAACCGGCGGACUGAUAAUUGUGGUAUAUCUAUACGGUAAUAGAAAUGAAUGAGUUGGACCAUAAAAAGGAAUGAUCUGCUGAUACAUGCUACAAUGUAAAUGAGCAAGAUGGACCUUGAAAACAUUAUGCUAAGUGAAAAAUCCAGAUACUAACAGCCACAAAUUGUAUGAUUCUAUUUAUAUAAAAUGUCCAGAAUAGACAUAUCCAUAGAGAUGGACAUAGAUUAGUGGUUGCUAGGGUUUUGAGAGAGGGGCCAGAGGAUGCCUACUAAUAGGUACAGAGUUUCUUUUUAGGGUGAUGAAGAUGUUUUGCAUUUAGAUAGUGGUGAUGAUUGCUCAUUUUGUGAAUAUACUAAAAACCACUGCGUUGUACACUUUAAAAGGGUGAGUUUUAUGCUAUGUAAAUGAUAUUGCAAUUAAAAAAAGUUUACGGAAAGAAUGGUGGGGUCCUUGAAAGCUUCCAUGAAUAAUAAACACCCCAUCCCCAUGCCCCACCACCCCGACCCUAGUAUAUGUGG
Long non-coding RNA from Microcebus murinus (gray mouse lemur), 3807 nucleotides. The record is from Ensembl. NCBI's taxonomy places the organism in Eukaryota, Metazoa, Chordata, Mammalia, Primates, Cheirogaleidae.